RNAcentral lists this unclassified non-coding RNA (252 nucleotides) under uncultured Paenibacillaceae bacterium. RNAcentral's name for it is "contains 16S-23S intergenic spacer region". It matches the Rfam family "Bacterial small subunit ribosomal RNA", at positions 524 to 776 of the family's 1533-position model. The record is from RNAcentral. Lineage: Bacteria; Bacillati; Bacillota; Bacilli; Caryophanales; Paenibacillaceae.
UACGUAGGGGGCAAGCGUUGUCCGGAAUUAUUGGGUGUAAAGCGCGCGCAGGCGGUUCUUUAAGUCUGGUGUUUAAGCCCGGGGCUCAACCUCGGGACGCACGGGAAACUGGGGGACUGGAGUGCAGGAGAGGAGAGCGGAAUUCCACGUGUGGCGGUGAAAUGCGUAGAGAUGUGGAGGAACACCAGUGGCGAAGGCGGCUCUCUGGCCUGUAACUGACGCUCAGGUGCGAAAGCGUGGGGAGCAAACAGG